UUUCCGUAGGUGAACCUGCGGAAGGAUCAUUAAUGAGUUGUCAUGGGGUUCGAUGCUGGCAGCCAAUUUUUGGAUGCAUGUGCUUGCCCUAACAAUCAUCUUCCAAACACCUGUGCACAUUUUUGAGGGAGUCUUGAGUUGGUUGCCGCUCUUGGGUGGUUUUCUCACAUUCCCUUAAAUCAUUAUACGCUAUUAACAAUGUUGAACGUGCUCUGUGCCGCAAGGCUAUUAAUAUAAUACAACUUUUAACAACGGAUCUCUUGGCUCUCGCAUCAAUGAAGAACGCAGC
Molecule: unclassified non-coding RNA, 289 nt
Filed under: plant metagenome
Description: partial contains small subunit ribosomal RNA, internal transcribed spacer 1, and 5.8S ribosomal RNA
Rfam family: 5.8S ribosomal RNA (bases 241-289)
Source: RNAcentral